GAUGAACGCUGGCGGCGUGCCUAAUACAUGCAAGUCGAGCGAACGGACGAGAAGCUUGCUUCUCUGAUGUUAGCGGCGGACGGGUGAGUAACACGUGGAUAACCUACCUAUAAGACUGGGAUAACUUCGGGAAACCGUAGCUAAUACCGGAUAAUAUUUUGAACCGCAUGGUUCAAAAGUGAAAGACGGUCUUGCUGUCACUUAUAGAUGGAUCCGCGCUGCAUUAGCUAGUUGGUAAGGUAACGGCUUACCAAGGCAACGAUGCAUAGCCGACCUGAGAGGGUGAUCGGACACACUGGAACUGAGACACGGUCCAGACUCCUAAGGGAGGCAGCAGUAGGGAAUCUUCCGCAAUGGGCGAAAGCCUGACGGAGCAACGCCGCGUGAGUGAUGAAGGUCUUCGGAUCGUAAAACUCUGUUAUUAGGGAAGAACAUAUGUGUAAGUAACUGUGCACAUCUUGACGGUACCUAAUCAGAAAGCCACGGCUAACUACGUG
Molecule: ribosomal RNA, 497 nt
Filed under: uncultured bacterium
Lineage: Bacteria
Description: partial 16S ribosomal RNA
Rfam family: Bacterial small subunit ribosomal RNA
Source: RNAcentral